RNAcentral lists this ribosomal RNA (804 nucleotides) under Triticum aestivum (bread wheat). RNAcentral describes it as "partial small subunit ribosomal RNA". Lineage: Eukaryota; Viridiplantae; Streptophyta; Magnoliopsida; Poales; Poaceae. The record is from RNAcentral.
AUGGGAAGAAUGAGCAGUGGUUUGGAGGUUGCGAUAAAAGUUCUUGACAUGCAGCUCGAGCAGGCCAUUCGAAGUUCUGAUGUUGAGUGUCGAGUACUUCGCAUGGCGCGGCACCGCAACCUGAUCAAGAUACUCAACACGUGCUCUAACCUUGACUUUAGAGCACUGGUGCUUCAAUACAUGCCAAAUGGAAGCUUAGAGACACUCCUACACCGGUCUGAGGGUACACGGCACGUGGGGUUCCUAGAGAGACUGGACAUCAUGCUCGAUGUGUCAAUGGCAGUUGAGUACCUGCACCAUGAUCACUAUGAGCUGAUCUUGCACUGUGACUUGAAGCCUAGCAAUGUGUUGUUUGAUGAAGAGAUGACUGCACAUGUGGCAGACUUCGGCAUUGCAAGGUGGCUUCUUGGUGAUGACAACUCUAUGAUAUGUACGAGCAUGCCCGGAACGGUUGGAUACAUGGCACCAGAGUACGGUUCACUCGGAAAAGCAUCACGGAAGAGCGACGUGAUUAGUUACGGGAUUAUGCUUCUUGAAGUCUUCACUAGAAGAAAGCCAACUGACGCCAUGUUUGAUGCACAGCUAACCUUUAGGCAAUGGGUUUGUCAGGCAUUUCCCGCGGAGCUUGUCCAAGUCAUCGAUGGUCAGCUACUGCAAGGCUCCCCUCUUUAUAGCUGCAGUUUGGAAAAUGGCUCUCUUGCAUCUCUGCUCGAGUUGGGUUUGGUCUGUUGCAGCGACUCGCCUGACCAAAGAACGACGAUGCGUGAUGUGGUCGUGACGUUGAAGAAGAUCAAAGCCGAAUAC